AUUGAACGCUGGCGGCAGGCCUAACACAUGCAAGUCGAGCGGAUGAAGGGAGCUUGCUCCUGGAUUCAGCGUCGGACGGGUGAGUAAUGCCUAGGAAUCUGCCUGGUAGUGGGGGAUAACGUCCGGAAACGGGCGCUAAUACCGCAUACGUCCUGAGGGAGAAAGUGGGGGAUCUUCGGACCUCACGCUAUCAGAUGAGCCUAGGUCGGAUUAGCUAGUUGGUGGGGUAAAGGCCUACCAAGGCGACGAUCCGUAACUGGUCUGAGAGGAUGAUCAGUCACACUGGAACUGAGACACGGUCCAGACUACUAAGGGAGGCAGCAGUGGGGAAUAUUGGACAAUGGGCGAAAGCCUGAUCCAGCCAUGCCGCGUGUGUGAAGAAGGUCUUCGGAUUGUAAAGCACUUUAAGUUGGGAGGAAGGGCAGUAAGUUAAUACCUUGCUGUUUUGACGUUACCAACAGAAUAAGCACCGGCUAACUUCGUG
This 484-nucleotide ribosomal RNA is filed under the name uncultured bacterium. RNAcentral's name for it is "partial 16S ribosomal RNA". It matches the Rfam family "Bacterial small subunit ribosomal RNA", at positions 30 to 507 of the family's 1533-position model. The record is from RNAcentral.